Molecule: long non-coding RNA, 725 nt
Organism: Solanum lycopersicum (tomato)
Lineage: Eukaryota; Viridiplantae; Streptophyta; Magnoliopsida; Solanales; Solanaceae
Source: RefSeq, a predicted model, not a curated record
AAAAGUAAUUGAGCUGGAGAAAUCAUAUGUAAAAUAGACUCUUGUCCAUAAAGGCUCCAUAAUUAUUUGGUAAAAUCAUCCAUUUGAAGCAAGUGAUCAUAGAGCAAAAAAUAUAUAAUGAUGAAAUUGAUUGGCUAACCACCCAUCCAACCAACUCCUACCCCCUUUCACCCUAAGAUAAAAUGGGGAGAAAGAAUGUAUUUAUACUUCACAAUUUCUUAUAUAUAGGUAAUUAAUUAGUUGGAGGAAAAAAAAAAAGAAGAAAUUUUGGUCAAAAGAUAAUAUUAUUUUAUUAUAUAUAUUAUAAUAAAAUUAUGUCUUCGUCACUGAAUCCCGCUAAGGCCAGGCAACAGAAUGGGAUGUAUCGAUAUCGAUUUUGCUAUUGUCGUGGUUCGUUUCAGUUCGAUUGUCUACGGGAUGAAAAGGAAUAUUCUAAAUCGGGACAUAGAACGGCACAUUAUCGAGGUUUGAUACCGGUGUACCGUACUGAUUUAUUUCAAUUUCGAUCAAGUUCUAAUUAACUAAUAUUUUAUCUUAAAUAAUAAAUACUAUCCAAAUAACUCAACUGCUCCUUAUAAGUAUUACAUUCGAUACUUGGUUGAAACAUAACCCUUCCUAAAAGGUGGUUGUGUAAACUAUGCACUCUACUGAUAGUUGUAAAUUGAGUUUGUAAUUUGUAAUCCAAAGUUAAUUAAAUCAAAUUAAUAUUUUUUAAUUUUUUGUAA